Molecule: long non-coding RNA, 2656 nt
Filed under: Bemisia tabaci
Lineage: Eukaryota; Metazoa; Arthropoda; Insecta; Hemiptera; Aleyrodidae
Description: lncRNA ENSSSA3NGG001614
Source: RNAcentral
CGACACGACAAAGCGGCGACGUUGAGUCGAUAUCAUUUCAAUAAUCGCCCCGCAGUCGACUUAAUCACGUCUUGAUUUUGACUUUGUUAAUGUUGAUAUAUUUUGCAGGUAUACUCCAGUUGGUAAAUGUGACAGAUUAUGCCACAUGAACCAAACUGGUCUUGGAGAGGUAGGAGAGAUGACUUGCCGGAUUCCAAGGACCAUAAUUCAACUCAAGAAAGCUCAGAUCAAUACCAUGAUUCAGAUUUGCAGUCAUCGGGUCCUCGCAGUGUACCUCACAAAAGGCAGUUUUCCCAGAAUGAUAGCUUCAGUUUCCGUGCAGACCUAGAUCGGGGUGAUUCUCAUUCCAAUCCUAGAAAAGACCCAAGAAAUAGAUCUCAGAUGAUAAGGUCUCCGCUGAAUCAACAGAACCCUACAAAAUUUAAUCUUCCUGGAAAUCAUAUUAAUUCCAGGCACAGUGGACGUAAGAAUAGAACCACUCAUGAUCAGUCUCAUUCACACUCAUCUGUUUCUUCAAAUAACCAUUCUGAGUAUCCUGAUUCACGAGUUGGUAAUUUUAAUGCAAAUGAAUCAAUGAUAAAACUCAAUAAAUCACGGUACAAUCAUGAAAGCAAGAACUUGCGUCAUAAUGCUUUUAGAGAUCCUUAUACGACAAGGCAUAAAUUCCCAAAAGACUCCUCUUCUUCCAAAGAGCAAGGGCGUGGUCCACAUGGAUGCUGUAUCCCAGGGGAAUUGCAAUCUGAUGAGGGUCCUUCCCAUUUUAAUUCAAAGGAAACUAGGCAUGCUUCUCAAUCAAGUGAGUCCAACUACUCCAGAGAAUCUGCAAGUAGCUCUAAAGUAGAUUCAUUUAAUCGUAAGCACAUCAGGAGCAAUUUGCACAGGGGUGGAAGUUGUGCAAGCAAGUGGAGGGACUUGAAGGGGAAUACAUCUAAAAGUAGUGAAUUCAGGUAUUAUCCUUAUUCUGAAGAGGCUUAUAAUAGUGAGUCUAGAUACAACUUUCGUGAGAAUCAACACAAUUCCAAUGGAUGGAGGCCUAAAAUUCAAGAUGAUGAAUUACACUAUAGAGAGUAUUUGAAUGAUAAUGCAUGUGACCAAUUAAAUUAUGGAAACCAAAGUGACAUUCAGCGCAACAAGUCCAAGUUUACAUCAGGCUCAUUCAGAUCCUCGAGAUUCAAUUCACAUACUGAUCUACUCAAUUGCAGCAAGUCAAGGCUUAAUUCUCGUGAAAACCAUUUCGACCUAGUCGAAUCAAAUUUGAACCCAAGGGCGGAAGCAUUUCAACCGAAGGAAUCAAGAUCCGAAACUCUAAUUGAAUCAUAUCCACCUAACAGUCCAGGUAAAGAAAAAAGUUUCCCACAGAAAUUUCAAACAAGGAAGGCUUUAAUCUGUGAUAAUCAGGAUGACAAAUCCCGAAGAUCCCGACUCACUGAGCAGCUGAAUCGCGGGACACUGGAGUGCCUCGUUUGUACAGACUAUGUUCUCCAAGCAGACAGAGUUUGGAACUGCAUUGCCUGUUAUAAUACCUUCCACCUAAAUGUAUCAUCAAGUGGUCAGACUCCUCUAAAAGCGGUAAGUUGAAAGUCAUUCCACAUCAUUUAACCCAGAACUAAUACUUUCUGCUAGGCGAUGGCAGAUACCUCUGUUUCCACCACAAUUCAACUUGUCAAGUAAUUUUGUCAUAAGUCAAAGCCUGAUAUUUUUAAUUUUGCCGGCCCAUUCUGAGUCCUGAAAGUUUGAUUUAAGGCCAAGUGGAAGUCAGUAGCUGGCCCAGGACUUAAAAUAUGUUCAUGUUUGAAAACUAGAAGAAAUACUUCAGUUUAAUGCAUAAAAAUAAAUUACUUAAUUCAAUUCAGCUGUCUUCCAGGACUGUUGCGGAGGAUUCUUGUUUUGUUUUUUUCCCCACAAAAUAUUCACAUUACACUUGUUGAUUCAUACGAGUUAAAAAAAUCCUUAAAAUAGGGAUUUCAGCCGUCUGGCAGUCCACUUACAUCUUUUUUUUUUUUUUAUUUAUUUAUUUAUGUAAUCAGAAUAACGAUGUACACAAAGAGAUUUUAGACCUGUGGGGUCUUUUAAAUCUUAAAUUUAACUUAUAAACUAAAUAUAAAUAAACAUCUGCUUUUACAUGGUUAAAAGGUAGCAAUAAAACAAGAAAUCAGAAAAAUCAGAAAAAUAGGAGUAUUAAGGCAAAGAAAGACUGCGAAAUGUGCUUAGUGGUAAACAGGCCAGGGAGCCCUAAGUGAAAACUGUAAAAAUGAAAUUACGAAAAGUACAAGAGAAAAUUAGUAAAAGGUAAGUACGGUAGAUUACUGAAGUUAAAUUAAAUUAGUAGAAAUGAUAAGAAAAGCAGAACUGGAAAGACGCCUGUUUCCAUGGAGGCCGAAUUUAUCGAAAUUCAGCUGAAACUCUACAAGGCCACCACGGAUAUUAGGGUGGUCAAGAAAUUGAAAAAAAAACUGGUUUUUGUGCUUCUGUUGGAUAGAUUUACAAAAAAAACAAAUAUUUUAAAAAAUCAGAGUAGGUCAAUAGUGCAGGCGCAAAUGUCAUCCCGUGGCACUAUUAGUGAUUGAAGUGUGGAAGAUGUCUUAAUCUCUUCGUAUUGAUGUCUAGAAGCAGAAUUCCGAUGUUGACAUUCUCAAUUUUCAAAAAGUCACCCCUA